RNAcentral lists this ribosomal RNA (202 nucleotides) under Clostridioides difficile. Its description in RNAcentral is "partial 23S ribosomal RNA". It matches the Rfam family "Bacterial large subunit ribosomal RNA", at positions 1192 to 1402 of the family's 2925-position model. The record is from RNAcentral. Lineage: Bacteria; Bacillati; Bacillota; Clostridia; Peptostreptococcales; Peptostreptococcaceae.
UACCGAAGCUACGGCAUCAUUAUGAUGGGUAGGGGAGCUUCCCAUACGGGUUGAAGCAUGACCGUAAGGACAUGGGGACAGUAUGGGAGUGAGAAUGUUGGCAUGAGUAGCGAGAUGUGGGUGAGAAGCCCACAGGCCGUAAACCCAAGGUUUCCAGGGGAAGGUUCGUCCGCCCUGGGUUAGUCGGGACCUAAGCUGAGGC